GGACCCGUAGCUCAGCCAGGAUAGAGCGCCGGCCUGCGGUAAGGUAGAGAGCCGGCGGUCCCGGGUUCAAGUCCCGGCGGGUCCG
Molecule: transfer RNA, 85 nt
Filed under: Stygiolobus caldivivus
Lineage: Archaea; Thermoproteati; Thermoproteota; Thermoprotei; Sulfolobales; Sulfolobaceae
Description: Stygiolobus sp. KN-1 tRNA-Arg
Rfam family: tRNA
About the family: Transfer RNA (tRNA) molecules are approximately 80 nucleotides in length. Their secondary structure includes four short double-helical elements and three loops (D, anti-codon, and T loops).
Source: RNAcentral